Molecule: ribosomal RNA, 450 nt
Filed under: uncultured bacterium
Lineage: Bacteria
Description: partial 16S ribosomal RNA
Rfam family: Bacterial small subunit ribosomal RNA
Source: RNAcentral
GUGGGGAAUCUUCCGCAAUGGACGAAAGUCUGACGGAGCGACGCCGCGUGAGUGAAGAAGGCCUUCGGGUCGUAAAGCUCUGUCAUCAGGGACGAACGGCCGGUGGAGUGGAAAGCCACCGGAUUGACGGUACCUGAGAAGGAAGCCACGGCUAACUACGUGCCAGCAGCCGCGGUAAUACGUAGGUGGCAAGCGUUGUCCGGAAUUAUUGGGCGUAAAGCGCGCGCAGGUGGGAUCUUAAGUCCAUUUUGAAAGUUCGGAGCUCAACUCCGUGAUGGGAUGGAAACUGGGAUUCUUGAGUACCGGAGAGGAAAGCGGAAUUCCCCGUGUAGCGGUGAAAUGCGUAGAUAUGGGGAGGAACACCAGUGGCGAAGGCGGCUUGCUGGACGACAACUGACGCUGAGGCGCGAAAGCGUGGGGAGCAAACAGGAUUAGAUACCCGGGUAGUCC